UGGGGAAUAUUGGACAAUGGGCGAAAGCCUGAUCCAGCCAUGCCGCGUGUGUGAAGAAGGUCUUCGGAUUGUAAAGCACUUUAAGUUGGGAGGAAGGGCAGUUACCUAAUACGUGAUUGUUUUGACGUUACCGACAGAAUAAGCACCGGCUGACUCUGUGCCAGCAGCCGCGGUAAUACAGAGGGUGCAAGCGUUAAUCGGAAUUACUGGGCGUAAAGCGCGCGUAGGUGGUUAGUUAAGUUGGAUGUGAAAUCCCCGGGCUCAACCUGGGAACUGCAUUCAAAACUGACUGACUAGAGUAUGGUAGAGGGUGGUGGAAUUUCCUGUGUAGCGGUGAAAUGCGUAGAUAUAGGAAGGAACACCAGUGGCGAAGGCGACCACCUGGACUGAUACUGACACUGAGGUGCGAAAGCGUGGGGAGCAAACAGGAUUAGAUACCCAUGUAGUCCCUGAGCGGGCUGGCAAGGCGCAU
RNAcentral lists this ribosomal RNA (472 nucleotides) under uncultured bacterium. RNAcentral's name for it is "bacterial SSU rRNA". It matches the Rfam family "Bacterial small subunit ribosomal RNA", at positions 355 to 825 of the family's 1533-position model. The record is from RNAcentral.